UAAUCCCAGGCCGUAGCAUACAGGAGGAAAAAUCCAGUGAAUUUUCAUCGGGCUAUGAGGACAAGACAAAUGUUGGCUCUACGCUGCCCAGUGGGGCUUGAAAUCACAACCCUGAGACCAAGAUCUGAGCUGAAAUCAAGAGUCAGUCUCUUGACUGAUGGAGCCAACCAGAUUUUAUACGGCAGGAACGGAUCUUCUUUGUUUUCCAGGGCUGAGUCUGUCUUUGUUCCAAACAUUCAUUGAGCUUCAACUCUUAGGUAACAAUUCACUCAUAUCAUUAAAAUAGAUGAUUUUUACCUCUUGAGAAAUAACCAGUUCCUUCAGUUUGUGCCCAGAGGAGCAUAUGCUUCUACCACAAGAGGGGGCUGUAGCCCAUGCAUGAAGGGCAGGCUGAAACUGCAGUAGAACUUCAGCUUCACUAAGCAUCAGGGAGCCACAGCUGGAGUUCAGGGUUGUGUACUUUGCUUUCCUUACCCCACGCACCACUGCUGUGUGUGAUACAGCACUAACAUUCCAGGACUUUUUCACUGAAGAAAGGCAAUGCAGCUGCUUUUUGUUGGGAAUAGUUUCGUGAUAUCUUCAUGGAAGAAACAAGUCUUUAUUUUAGCAUCCUGGAAGCUGGGACCAACACAGUAAAAGUGGACUUUUCAAACUCAUGAUCUCAAGGCUGGGAGAUUGAGCCCCCUGUGGGGUUUCACACUCAGGGCAGAGUCUGCUUCUGACUCCUCCCUCUCCUUUUGUCCCCCUCCCACACUCAUGCUCUCAUACUUGCUGUAUAAAAUAAAUUUUUCUAAUUUUUGAAAAGAUUUUAUUUAUGAGAGAGUGAAAGCAUGUGCACACAGUGGAGGAGGCAGAAAGAAUAUCAAGCAGACUCUCUGCACUGAGCAUGGAGACUGACAUGGGGCUCCAUCUCACAACCCUGAGAUCAUGACCUGAGUAGAAACCAAGAGUCAAAUGCUUAAUCCACUGCCCCACGCAGGCCCCCAUAAACAAAUCUUAAAAACAAAACAAAACAAACUAUGAUGUGCAUUUAAAUCCCUGAUUUGUCAGUUUCAGGCAAGGUUCAUCCCUGAGCCUUAAUUUCUUCAGCUGUAAAAAUAGGAUUAUUUUACUGACCUUGAGGACUGUUACCAGGGUUAAAUGAGAAUGAAUGUAAAGCAUACAGCACAAUGCUCGACAGGUUCUAGGUGUAAAAUAAACUACUCUAUAGUUGGAAUCAAAGAGCCUGACUAUGGCUAUUUGGUUCAUUAAGGAACUUUCAAUUCUACCUAAAAUGAAGCAAUGGUAUAGAGUCAAAAGUCUCCUAUACAACCUCGGUCCUGUAAUGAUUUCUUUGCACUGAGCCUCCCAUCCAGAGUCCCUGGAGUUUGCAGAGUUCUGUUCUAACUGAACUACAUAGAUGUUGGUUUGGGUUAUUAACAUUCACUUUUUUUUUUUUUUUUAAGAGUAAAAGUUUCUCUGUGACAAGUCCUAUCUUACACUUCCCCUGGAGAAUAUGUACUACUCUUCAUGCAGUGGGCAAUUCAAGUUAAGUUUUAUAGACCAAAGACCUACAAGUUAUCAAAAGGAAAUGACAUGGUGUAAUCAGGAAUAAUAACCAAGCAGAGGAGGAUUAUUUUAUUGUCUACAGCUUACUUGGUGAAAAAGGCACUUACAGCUGGAAAUGCAUGGAUAAUCACAGGAAUGGGUACUCAGCAGCGCUCACGUACAAUCUGCAUGCAUUCCUGCAUUGUCUAGUUGCAGACUAAUUGAUUUCUAUACUGUUUAUCCCGUGUCUAGAAAAAAUUGUCAGGUAACAUCACUCAUUAGACACAGAUACUAGAUGUGAAAGUUUUUCACGGGAGCUCGAAGGAGAGGGUAUGAAUGUCUGGCAACUCUUCCAUUUCAUCUCACUUGCUGCCACACUGAAGGGCUUAGAAUCACCAUAUGUGAACAGGGCAACACUUCCAGGUUAGGGGGGUAACCAGACCCAACAGGCUUUCUUUGAUAUCACAAAAGCAAAUUUUUAAAAAAAUAUUUUAUUUAUUCAUGAGAGACACAGAGAGAGAGGCAGAGCAUAGGCAGAAGCAUAGGCAGAUGGAGAAGCAGGCUCCCUGUGGGGAGCCCGAUGCAGGACUUGAUC
Molecule: long non-coding RNA, 2122 nt
Organism: Nyctereutes procyonoides (raccoon dog)
Lineage: Eukaryota; Metazoa; Chordata; Mammalia; Carnivora; Canidae
Exons: 3
Source: RefSeq, a predicted model, not a curated record